Pelobates cultripes (western spadefoot toad) is the source of this 8766-nucleotide non-coding RNA. The record is from the annotation of a GenBank genome assembly. Lineage: Eukaryota; Metazoa; Chordata; Amphibia; Anura; Pelobatidae.
CACUCAAGGACUUGACAUUAAUUAUUUUCUCUUUUGCUAUGUUAGUUCUUGUUUCUAUAACAGAGAAAAUGUCACUCCUAGGAAUUAAAUGAACAAAGCAGCCCAAAUUUUAUAAUAAAACAUUUGUGAAAAUACGCCUCUAUUUUUGUUUUUGGAAGAUGUACAGUAUCCCACCGAAUACAGGGUUAGAGAUUUAACAGAGGAAAAUAACAGAGCAAUUAAGGCAGUGUGCUUUUCAUCUGCUGAACACGGACCAUUUUAAGGAGAACUAAUUGGGUGGAAAUGUAUCGAUGUAUUGAUGGGUUUAAAUGGACAGUUCUAAGUUCUACAUCGCAUUCCCGGGAGAGUACAUUCUUUACACACCUUCCUGAAAUGACAGUUUCAAGUCAUUUGCAGAGUCAGGAAAACCACGUGCUGUGUUAGGGCUGUGACUCAGAUACCGGGGAUGUUAAAAUCUAGAUCCUCAUUUACUGUACAACUAUAAUUCUUAGUAUGCUUUUCUAGUCUUGAAAGGCUGUGAUGCCGUAGCUGGGGAACUAGGGUUUUGCCAUUCAAAGUGAAAUUCAAAUCUAAUGGCAAAAUAGCCAAACGCAGCUUUGCUUUUAGUUUAAGCGGUUUUAAAUUAAAUUAAAAUUCACUUUGAAUUCAGUUUAAAUUCUCACCUUAGUGACUAACCCUGUAAGGCUAGUGACAUAUCAAAGGCGUAAUAUCAUUGUUUGAAGGACUUGUUUUGUUUUAGAAACAUAGACACAAAUUGAAUUAAAUAAAAAUAAGUUGUACAUAACGUUUGCAGGCGAUUGCGUGGGGGUCCUGCAACACAUUGCUCUGACCAUGUGGGGGAGAAAUGCAUUGAGCUGAUCUGCUAAUCAACAACAACUCAUUAACUAACAAGUAUACUUGUGCAGAAAUAUGUUUCAACAUCAAAUUCCUCUUAAUCUAUCCUCAGGAAAAGCCCAGAUUAAUCGAUUAGUUGAGACAUAGCUUAACAUGAAUUUUAAUGUGUCUGAAUGCAGCUGAAACUAGUUUGUGCACAAGUAUACUGACUAAUCAGUUGCAUUUUAUAAUUAAGUAUGUGCUUCAGGUUUCACAUAUUGUACCAAACCACCUUAAAUACUAUGCCUUAUCCAUAUUGUCCCUGUCUACCGGCUAAUGAGAAAUUCUUCUCCCCCAUCUGCAAGAUAAUAAUUCAUUUUCCCAAAUUAAACUGGCACCAAUAUACUGUGAUAACGGACAAAAUAGUAACGUGCUAAAUUGUGAACACAAUGGAAUGUCACCCCAAGGAAAAAAAGAAAACAGAGGUAUAUGUGUCAAUAUAGAUAACAAUUAACAUAGGUCCACUACUGAAUUCCAUUGUGACCAACAAACAAAUGUACUACAUUCAUUGGACAGAGAUUGCAAUGAAGAUCGUUAUUCUAGUGUUGGUUUGGGUGACAAUCACGCACAGAAGGACAUUUUGUGAAAAGUGUAACGAGGAGUAAGGGACAUUAAAUGAAUACACAAACGGGUGCAGGGAGGGAAAUGGGAUGUACUCAUUCUAAAAUUAUAUAUAUAUAUAAAAUGUCAUAUUUCACCUCUGUAUUGGGUAAACUAAACACUGUAUAUCAAUGUAGGCAGUUGUUGAGCUGGGCCAAUGGGUGUAAAAACCAAUAAGUGAAUGGGCCCAAACCAUAUCUGCACAAAAAUGAACUUUCUUAUUCCUACUUAAAGUAUAAACUAUCCUUAUUAAUUUUAUUAUUGUUAUUAUAUUUUUUAUAUAGCGCCAUCAGAUUCCGUAGCGCUGUACAAUGGGAUCACUUUGGGAAGGUGGGAUUUGUGAUUGCUACAUUUUGUUGAUCCUAUAUUAUACAUUUUUUAAUUACAGUUUCCUUUUAUCUUUUUUAAUUACUACUGAAUAUAUAUAUAUAUAUAUAUUGCUACCAGUAUAUUAGUGUUAUAAAGAACAUGCACCUAAAUAGAUACAUUAUAGAGCUAAUACAGCGCUGGGUUUAAAACCCCAUUCACAAUGAAAUAUUCUAACUGUUCUCAAAUGUGCUGUUAUCCUAAUUAGCAGCCAAUAGUAACAUCACAAUUACCCAGGGUAGCCAUAGAUACCAGAGAUUGUCUGCUUUCUGAUCCAGUCAAUAUACUGAAUUAUCACAAACAAUGAGUAUCACAUUGUUUUUUCAUGCAGAGAUCCGGCUGCACACAUUAUGUACAUGAUUUAUUUGCAUAUAAUAAUUGAAUGCUCCGGGCUUCCUCACCUCUGCACCUGCCGUGUUCAGAAAUAUAUUUUCCAUUUGCACUGUGUUUUCCGGUGCUUAUAAUAUUAAAGACAGCUCGGUAACUAUAUCUGUAUUCAAAUACAUCUGUCUUAAUGAACUGCAUCAUAUUUUUUUUAAAGCGUAUCUAUCAUAUCUGAAAUUGAAGUGUUCUUGAAUUCAGCACUGAGAAGUAGCUGUUUCUCCUGUAAUUACGUUUUUAGAUUGCAAAAUUCAAAAAUGCUCUUCUUUAGCCCCUCUCAUAUUUUAAUUAGAAAACAUUUAAAAACAAGUGAAGCAUUACAUUACAUUUAUUUGUAACAUGGGGUGUACAGCUAGCACACAAAAAAAGAAAAUGUGUGACAAGAUUGCAAUAUAUAUAUAUAUAUUAUAUUAAUUUGUGUUCAUCCAGGGAAAGAAAUAUUGUCAUGGAAGGUACAAAUUAUCAGAGAUUACAUAAUCUUUAACAACAUAGAUAGCUAAAAAGCGAUAGCUUAGAAGGGCAAAUCUGAAUUUGUCAGGGUAUUUGUAAAGAAUCUGCUGGUAUUUGCGAGAUUGCAGAUUCCUGAAAGCAAGUAGAAUGUAAUAACUUUGUAUGUAUGUUGGCAUAACACCACAUAGAGCCAGCACAUUGUCUGGAUAAAACAAGGCAACUCUUUCCCCAGGGUAAUGAAGGCUACUAGUCCCGCUUGUCCAUAUGCCCAGCAUGUCAGAGUCAGAUUAAUAUAGGGGCUAUUAAAGAUCCAGGCUCAUGCAUUGCAAUAGGACCCAGCUGCCGGGUGUUUUUUGUGAUCUGCUAAAGCCUGAAACGGCCAGGGAGGCAGACACAUCUUCACUAGUCUUACUGAGCAUCAGGAAACAUCGUCCAAAAUAUCUAAAGUGCCAAAGAUAGCUUGGGCACUGUAUAAACUAGUCUGUAUCUAAUCAGUGCCUUGAUAACCAACAAGAGGGGACCAAAAUGUGUCCUGAGUCUAUUGUACAUGCUCUUUUCCAUUCUGAUUGUACACAGACCUUUUGCGCCCCAUGACACAUAGGAUGAAUUCCCUGUGACCCUUAGGAUAGAUUGUGACCCUUUGCAUUCCUUGCUUCCCUAACUUAUUUCUGUGUGGUUAACCUGUUGAUGUCCAUGUUGAUGGAUUUUAUGUGCCCGAAGUUUUCAGUUCAUAAAUGCAUGGAUGCCUUUAUAUAUGACUGCAAGGUCUAGUUGCAGAUGGGUGGCAGAUGCAUCCAGCACUACAGCACAUCAAACAUUUUAUACUUCAGUACAGUGUGUGUAUGUCGGGUUCAUUUACAGCACACUAACUCAAUGGGGUCUUACUCUAGCCCUGAUGGAGAAAUGUGUAUCGGUGCUGGUGUCAGUGUGUGUAUCUAUAUCUGUGUGUGUGUAUCUGUUUUUUUAGUGUGUGUAUCUGUGUGUAUGUCCCAGUGUGUAUUUGUGUGUCUGUGUAUGAGUAUCUGUGAUUGUUUAUGUGUCAGUGUGUGUAUCUAUUUCAAUGUGUAUCUGUGUGUCAGUGUUUGUAUCAGUGUGUUUAUCUGUGUGCAUGUGUCAGUGUGUGUAUCAGUGUGUGCAUCUAUGUGUCUGUGUGUGUAUCUGUCAAUGUGUUUGUGUGUGUGCCAGUUUGCAUAUAAGUCUCUGUUUGUGAGUAUCUGUGUGUCUGUGUGUAUGUAAGUGUAUAUGUCAGUGUGUGUAUCCGUGUCUCAGUAUGUGAAUAUCUGUGUGUCAGUGCAUGUGUAUGUGUCAGUGUGUUUAUCUAUCUGUGUGCAUGUGUCAGUGUGUGUGUGUGUGUGUGUAUAUGUGUGUCAGUGUACGUAUUAGUUGUGUAUGUGUCAGAAGGUCUGAGGGUCUGAGUGUGUAGUGAUGGGUUUAACACAAUAUGCUGUAACUGAAUCCCCAUAUUUGUUUGAUAAGAUGAGUGAUUUUAAGUAGCCUUGUACAAUUUAAACCUGUAUUUAUCUGUUUGUGUGUUCGCUGUUCCUUUAGCUUUACUUUGUAUAGAUUUUGGUCUUUAUAGCAGUACCACUUCUUAGAAAUGCAUGUUCUGUGCCCCCAAUCCCCACUUUUUCUGUGUAGACUUGGAAUCCAGACAAUAUUCUUAUUGGGCUGAGCACCCCACCAAUCCAUUGUAGGUGCCCCUGCAGUUUAAACUGCAAGUGAGUAUUGCAGGUUAGCAUGUAAAUCUCCCAUGUUGAAACUAGUGUAGGACCUACCCAUAUUGGGGUACUGUGACAUAGUGGUGGGUUUAACACACUAUGGUGUAACUGAAUCCCCAUAUUUGUUUGCUAAGAUAUGUGAUUUUGUGUGUAUGUGUCAGUGUGUGUAUCUGUGUGCAUCAAGGUGUGUAUGUGUCAGUGUAUAUGUCAGAGUGUGUAUCUGUGUUAGUGUGUGUAUCAGUGUGUGUACAUAUCUCUGCGUGUGUUUUAGUGUGUAUCUGUGUGCAUCAGUGUGUGUAUGUGUCAGUUUGUGUAUGUGUCAGUGUGUGUAUCUGUGUUAGUUUGUGUAUCAGUGUGUGUAUGUGUCUGUGUGUCAGUGUGUAUAUCUGUCUGUCAGUGUGUGUAUAUGUCUGCAUCAGUGUGUAUGUGUCAGUGUGUGUAUCAGUCUGUGUAUGUGUCUGUGUGUGUGUCAGUGUGUGCUUCUGUGUGUCAGUGUGUAUAUCUGUCUGUCAGUGUGUGUAUAUGUCUGCAUCAGUGUGUAUGUGUCAGUGUGUGUAUCAGUCUGUGUAUGUGCCUGUGUGUGUGUGUCAGUGUGUGCUUCUGUAUGUCAGUGUGUGUAUGUGUGUAUCAGUGUAUGUAUCUGUGUGUGUUUGUCACUGUGUAUAUCUAUGUGUUAUUGUAUGUAUAUGUGUCUAUCUGAGUGCGUGUAUUUGUCAGAAUGUAUCUAAGGGUGUGUAUGUUUCAAAGUGUAACUGUGUGUGUCAAUGAGUAUAUGUAUAUGUGUAUGUAUGUGGCAGUUUUAGUACAUACAAACCAGCAAUCAAAUGCAUCUGUCUGUGUCAGUGUGUGUAUGUGUCAGUGUGUGUAUCUGUGUUAGUGUGUGUAUCAGUCUGUGAAUGUGUAUGUGUGUGUGUGUCAGUGUGUGUUUCUGUAUGUCUGUGUGUGUGUCAGUGUGUGUAUCUGUGUGCAUCAGUGUCAGUGUGUAUCUGUGUGUGUCAGUGUAUGUAUCUGUGUGUGUUUGUCAGUGUGUAUAUCUAUGUGUUAUUGUAUGUAUAUGUGUUUAUCUGAGUGUGUAUUUGUCAGAAUGUAUCUAAGGGUGUGUAUGUUUCAAAGUGUAACUGUGUGUGUGUCAAUGAGUAUAAGUAUAUGUGUAUGUAUGUGGCAGUUUUUGUGCAUACAAACCAGCAAUCAAACGCAUCUGUCUGCGUCAGUGUGUGUAUGUGUCAGUGUGUGUAUCUGUGUUAGUGUGUGUAUCAGUCUGUGAAUGUGUCUGUGUGUGUCAGUGUGUGUUUCUGUAUGUCAGUGUGUGUAUGUGUGUAUCAGUGUGUGUAUCUGUGUGCAUCAGUGUCAGUGUGUAUCUGUGUGCGUCAGUGUACGUAUCUGUGUGUAUCUGAGUGUGUGUAUUUGUCAGAAUAUAUCUAAGGGUGUGUAUGUUUCAAAGUGUAACUGUGUGUGUGUCAAUGAGUAUAUGUAUAUGUGUAUGUAUGUGGCAGUUUUUGUGCAUACAAACCAGCAAUCAAAUGCAUCUGUCUGCGUCAAUGUGUGUAUGUGUCAGUGUGUGUAUCUGUGUUAGUGUGUGUAUCAGUCUGUGAAUGUGUAUGUGUGUGUGUGUCAGUGUGUGUUUCUGUAUGUCUGUGUGUGUGUGUCAGUGUGUGUAUCUGUGUGCAUCAGUGUCAGUGUGUAUCUGUGUGCAUCAGUGUAUGUAUCUGUGUGUGUUUGUCACUGUGUAUAUUUAUGUGUUAUUGUAUGUAUAUGUGUCUAUCUGAGUGCGUGUAUUUGUCAGAAUGUAUCUAAGGGUGUGUAUGUUUCAAAGUGUAACUGUGUGUGUGUCAAUGAGUAUAUGUAUAUGUGUAUGUAUGUGGCAGUUUUUGUUCAUACAAACCAGCAAUCAAAUGCAUCUGUCUGCGUCAGUGUGUGUAUGUGUCAGUGUGUGUAUCUGUGUUAGUGUGUGUAUCAGUCUGUGAAUGUGUAUGUGUGUCAGUGUGUGUUUCUGUAUGUCUGUGUGUGUGUCAGUGUGUGUAUCUGUGUGCAUCAGUGUCAGUGUGUAUCUGUGUGUGUCAGUGUAUGUAUCUGUGUGUGUUUGUCAGUGUGUAUAUCUAUGUGUUAUUGUAUGUAUAUGUGUUUAUCUGAGUGUGUGUAUUUGUCAGAAUGUAUCUAAGGGUGUGUAUGUUUCAAAGUGUAACUGUGUGUGUGUCAAUGAGUAUAAGUAUAUGUGUAUGUAUGUGGCAGUUUUUGUGCAUACAAACCAGCAAUCAAAUGAUAAACAUUACAUGCAAACACACCCUUGCAAUCAAAAGCACACAUUACAUACAAAUGUACACACAUUUAAAAGACAUCAAUGCAUACAAACACACCCCAGCGAUCAAAUGCGAACAUUACAUACAAACAUAACUCUGAUUAAAAUGCCAACACCCCAUCCCACCAACUCUAAACACAAACGUACACCUGCAUUUGAGAGCCAACACUAUCAAAAUCAAAAAAUCAAAUGUAAACCUUACAUAAAAGUACACCACUGCAUUCCCAGGCACCGGUACAUACGAAUACACCCCUACACAAACACACACUUAAUCCAUACAAAAACAUGCUUACAUUCAAAUGCACAAACUCACAGAUACAACCCUGCAAGGAUGGGCAAGUGGUUCGACAGAUGAGGAGUAGCGAAAUAUGUGUGAUAUCGUCCUGUGUGAUUUCCUCUGAACUAAGACUUUAACCUGAGUAAUAGGAAGAUUGCUACAUAGUUUGAAUAUUAUUCCCCAUACAAUGAGAAACAUUGUGGUGGGACUGCAGCAAUAACAUUGUGUUGGCUUAUGGAAUUAAUAAAUGUUUAUUUCUAUUUAAUAGGACACUAUGGUUUUCUAAUUGUACUUUAAAUAUGCAACCAAGAGAGAGACAUCUAUAUAUAGGCAUAGGUGGUUAGCAGACUAGCAAAGAAAUGCUUAAACACAUGCAUAUGUUCCCUUGUUCUGUUCCCCUUUCGGGUGUUUGCAGAUAUGUAUUGACACCGUAGAAUCCUGUGAUGAUGCAUCAGUUAUGUAGGUAUAUCACAAAAUGGAUUCCAGGCAGCAACCUGAUUCACACAUGAAAUAAUUCAAUAUUUACUUAUACGUGCUUUUUUUUGUUUGUUUUUAGAAAAUCAAAAAUCACAGUUAUAGCAAUUCUAAAACCGCGAUUAUUUGCUCACUAACUGUAAAUAUCUUUAUAUAUAAUAGUUAUCUGCACACCUAAUGGCUGACCGAGUGAUGACAUAGAAAAUUGAUUUUGAGCAUUUGAGGCAUUAGUUAAAUAUCUGGUCAUGGACUAUUGUUAUACAAUCAAAUAGAAAAUAAUCUGUAUGUACAUGAAUAUAGUUAUAUAAGAGUUAAACUUUAUAGCACUUUAUAAGCAAAUAUCCUCUCAAGCACACAUAAACUGGCACAGUCUACAUAAUUUACUGCACAUCCCCACUGAGCCAUAAAAUCUGAGAAAAAUUAUUAUUGUUUAUGAGUAAAAUAUGAAAAUAUCAUGCCUCUCAAAUGUCCCUUUUUUCAGCAGGACAGUCACGAUUUUGGGGUGCUGUCCUGCAUCUGGGGAUACCAAGAAACUGGCAGCACAGCACGAACGCAUCAAUGGACGCAUUGACGCUGUGCAAUGGACACUAGGACAAUGCAGGGAGCUCUUUAGCAACGCUAACUGCAUGGUCCUGAUAGAUGUGUGCCAGCCAAGCUGCCCCCUUUUUUCUUGCUGAUGCAACCCUCUUCUUGGAAGAGACUGCUCCUUUCUGAACAUCCCCACCCAUUGUGGGCAAUGACACCCUUCAGGAUUCUGCCCACACUUCCUGACUUCCUAAAGGCAGACAUUGGGAGGUAUGAUAUGGAGUCACAAUCAUGUUAAUUUAGAGGCCUAUGGCUGAGGUAGUAGAAAUGUUAAAGAAGCAAAUAAGAUAAAGCAGCAAUUACCCUUUUUGGGUGAUGUCCAUGCUUGGCACAUGUUGUAUUGUUAAAGUCUGAAAUAUAUAUAUGCCAGUUUAGUGGUCACUUUACAGACAAUGUUAUGGAGAAAGCUACUUAGUAUAGCAUCUGCUAGCAAAACAGAGAAUCCCUAGUAAUGUACAGUAACUACAGAUUGCUAGUACUGGAUAACACAGAAAUCACUGCUUCCAGUAAAAAAAAAAAAAUAUAUAAAAAAAUGUAUAAUUCAAAUUUAUCUUAAACUGAGAUGUGCUCUAAUUUGCAUACAUGAUUAAAUAAAUAAGGAAGAGAAAACUAGUUUUAAACAAUAUGUGAGGAUGUAUCAUAUAAUGAGGUAACUGUUAAAAACAGUCAUUUUGAGUACCGUAACAACAUUUUUUUUAUUUUUUUUUUAGCCAAAUAGGGCCACUGGGGAUAAAUGCUGAGUAUGU